GAUCCUGGCUCAGACGAACGCUGGCGGCGUGCCUAAUACAUGCAAGUCGAGCGAGCUGAAUUCAAAGAUUCCUUCGGGRUGAUUUGUUGGACGCUAGCGGCGGAUGGGUGAGUAACACGUGGGCAAUCUGCCCUAAAGACUGGGAUACCACUUGGAAACAGGUGCUAAUACCGGAUAACAACAUGAAUCGCAUGAUUCAAGUUUGAAAGGCGGCGCAAGCUGUCACUUUAGGAUGAGCCCGCGGCGCAUUAGCUAGUUGGUGGGGUAAAGGCCUACCAAGGCAAUGAUGCGUAGC
This 295-nucleotide ribosomal RNA is filed under the name Lactobacillus delbrueckii subsp. lactis. RNAcentral's name for it is "partial 16S ribosomal RNA". The record is from RNAcentral. Lineage: Bacteria; Bacillati; Bacillota; Bacilli; Lactobacillales; Lactobacillaceae.